RNAcentral lists this non-coding RNA (27 nucleotides) under Mus musculus (house mouse). The record is from RNAcentral. Lineage: Eukaryota; Metazoa; Chordata; Mammalia; Rodentia; Muridae.
UUUGGUUCAAAAACAAAGAAGGGAAGA